AUUGAACGCUGGCGGCAGGCCUAACACAUGCAAGUCGAGCGGAUGAAGGGAGCUUGCUCCUGGAUUCAGCGGCGGACGGGUGAGUAAUGCCUAGGAAUCUGCCUGGUCGUGGGGGAUAACGUCCGGAAACGGGCGCUAAUACCGCAUACGUCCUGAUGGAGAAAGUGGGGGAUCUUCGGACCUCACGCUAUCAGAUGAGCCUAGGUCGGAUUAGCUAGUUGGUGGGGUAAAGGCCUACCAAGGCGACGAUCCGUAACUGGUCUGAGAGGAUGAUCAGUCACACUGGAACUGAGACACGGUCCAGACUCCUACGGGAGGCAGCAGUGGGGAAUAUUGGGCAAUGGGCGAAAGCCUGAUCCAGCCAUGCCGCGUGAGUGAUGAAGGUCUUCGGAUUGUAAAGCACUUUAAGUUGGGAGGAAGGAAAGUAAGUUUAUACCUUGCUGUUUUGACGUUACCAACAGAAUAAGCACCGGCUAACUUCGUG
RNAcentral lists this ribosomal RNA (484 nucleotides) under uncultured bacterium. Its description in RNAcentral is "partial 16S ribosomal RNA". It matches the Rfam family "Bacterial small subunit ribosomal RNA", at positions 30 to 507 of the family's 1533-position model. The record is from RNAcentral.